Molecule: long non-coding RNA, 452 nt
Filed under: Homo sapiens (human)
Lineage: Eukaryota; Metazoa; Chordata; Mammalia; Primates; Hominidae
Description: HSALNT0394728
Source: RNAcentral
CUGAUGUUCUACCCAGCAUGCAGUCCUCACCAAGUAUCUCUUACAGAUUCAAAUCUUUUGGUAUAACUCUCCUCCCACACACAAGGGAUUCACUCUUUUUCAAGUAGACCUUGAUGCACCUGACAGCCAUAACUUAAGCACACCUUGAGAAUGACUCUAUAGUCUAAGAAGAAUGUGUGUUCGGAAUUCUGAGCUAAGAAAUCUGGGAGUGGCCACCCGGAGAGUCAUUGCUUACCUAAGAGAAACAUUUGAACUCAUGGCCCAUCCUGUGGAACACACACCAUAUAGGGAAUCAAGGCCCUGUGUUUUGGGUUAAAUGAAGGUGGCCAGGUGGAGACUGCUAGAAGGAGAGUGCUAAGUGAAAAUGCUAUGUAAACUGCAUGCUUUUUAUAAAUGGUAGUUGUUGCUCUGUCCAGCCCACCACCACUGUGCUGCCCUGUAUGUAAGUCCCC